CAGGCGUGUCUGCAGGGACGACCUCACCAACUCCUACCUUGGAUGCUGCACAAAAGGCCAGCUCCCAUGGCAGGGGUCCUCUGACAGGAGAGACCAAAGACAUGGCAGGCAGGAAAUUCCAGGACCCAUUAGAAAUCAUGUGGCAAAUGCUGAAGGAACGUCUGCAGAGAAGACAAGAAAUGAAAGGAGAGCCUGCGGAGAAAGAAGCAUUUCCCGGAGGAAGCAGUGGUUGCAUGCCAGCCUCAGCUCCAGGAAGGGAGGCCAUGCCAGGCACAGGCACAGGAGAUGAGGGUGCUGGGAAGGCUUCUCCAUCAGCUUGGAUGAAUAAAGUUUUGAAGCCCUUGGAGCCUCCUGCAGAUGUGUCUACAGGGAAGACUUCUCCAGCUUCUCCAGCUGCUACCUUGGAUGCUGCACUCAAGCCCAGCUCCCAUCUCAG
Molecule: long non-coding RNA, 436 nt
Organism: Passer domesticus (house sparrow)
Lineage: Eukaryota; Metazoa; Chordata; Aves; Passeriformes; Passeridae
Exons: 5
Source: RefSeq, a predicted model, not a curated record